GUCCAGACUCCUACGGGAGGCAGCAGUGGGGAAUAUUGCACAAUGGGGGAAACCCUGAUGCAGCAACGCCGCGUGAAGGAAGACGGUUUUCGGAUUGUAAACUUCUAUCAAUAGGGAAGAAAGAAAUGACGGUACCUAAAUAAGAAGCCCCGGCUAACUACGUGCCAGCAGCCGCGGUAAUACGUAGGUGGCAAGCGUUGUCCGGAUUUACUGGGUGUAAAGGGCGUGUAGCCGGGCUGACAAGUCAGAUGUGAAAUCCGGGGGCUCAACCCCCGAACUGCAUUUGAAACUGUUGGUCUUGAGUAUCGGAGAGGCAGGCGGAAUUCCUAGUGUAGCGGUGAAGUGCGUAGAUAUUAGGAGGAACACCAGUGGCGAAGGCGGCCUGCUGGACGACAACUGACGGUGAGGCGCGAAAGCGUGGGGAGCAAACAGGAUUAGAUACCCGAGUA
RNAcentral lists this ribosomal RNA (449 nucleotides) under uncultured bacterium. Its description in RNAcentral is "partial 16S ribosomal RNA". It matches the Rfam family "Bacterial small subunit ribosomal RNA", at positions 329 to 792 of the family's 1533-position model. The record is from RNAcentral.